This 497-nucleotide ribosomal RNA is filed under the name uncultured bacterium. Its description in RNAcentral is "partial 16S ribosomal RNA". It matches the Rfam family "Bacterial small subunit ribosomal RNA", at positions 28 to 507 of the family's 1533-position model. The record is from RNAcentral.
GAUGAACGCUGGCGGCGUGCCUAAUACAUGCAAGUCGAGCGAACAGACGAGGAGCUUGCUCCUCUGACGUUAGCGGCGGACGGGUGAGUAACACGUGGAUAACCUACCUAUAAGACUGGGAUAACUUCGGGAAACCGGAGCUAAUACCGGAUAAUAUAUUGAACCGCAUGGUUCAAUAGUGAAAGACGGUUUUGCUGUCACUUAUAGAUGGAUCCGCGCCGCAUUAGCUAGUUGGUAAGGUAACGGCUUACCAAGGCAACGAUGCGUAGCCGACCUGAGAGGGAGGAGGGACGCACGGGAGAGGAGAAAGGUGACGAACUCCGGGAGGGAGACGCGGGAGGGAAUCUUACGGGAUGGGCGAGUGGGGAAUAGAGGAAAAUCGGCGAAAGGAUGAAGGAGUUCGGAACGGAGAAUUCUGUAAGUAUGAGAGAAGUAAUGUGCAAUUAACUGUGAACAUCAUGACAGUACCGGGAGAGAAAGCCACGGCUAACUACGUA